Molecule: ribosomal RNA, 393 nt
Filed under: uncultured cyanobacterium
Lineage: Bacteria; Bacillati; Cyanobacteriota
Description: bacterial SSU rRNA
Rfam family: Bacterial small subunit ribosomal RNA
Source: RNAcentral
CGAAAGCCUGACGGAGCAAGACCGCGUGGGGGAGGAAUGCCUUAGGGUUGUAAACCCCUUUUAUCUGGGAAGAAACUAUUGUCAAAGAUAGCUGACGGUACCAGAUGAAUAAGCCUCGGCUAACUCCGUGCCAGCAGCCGCGGUAAUACGGAGGAGGCAAGCGUUAUCCGGAAUUAUUGGGCGUAAAGCGUCCGCAGGUGGCGAUUCAAGUCUGCUGUCAAAGCACGGGGCUUAACUCCGUAAAGGCAGUGGAAACUGAAUAGCUAGAGUGCCGUAGGGGUAGAGGGAAUUCCCGGUGUAGCGGUGAAAUGCGUAGAGAUCGGGAAGAACAUCGGUGGCGAAAGCGCUCUACUGGACGGCAACUGACACUCAGGGACGAAAGCUAGGGGAGCG